Long non-coding RNA from Callithrix jacchus (white-tufted-ear marmoset), 1934 nucleotides. Lineage: Eukaryota; Metazoa; Chordata; Mammalia; Primates; Cebidae. The record is from Ensembl.
UAUACCACUGCACUCCAGCCUGGGUGACAGAGCAAGAUUCCAUCUUUAAAAUAAAUAAAUAAAAGUGACACGCCAGGAUAAUCAGGCAUUUUGCAAUGAGAUGAUUGAACUGCUCUAUGUAAUUUUCUCAGUAAUCAUGAGAAUGGAGGAAAUUCUGGAAAACUAGAGACAACCAAAAAAGUAGGGAACAAAGUUUUUUUUUUUUUUUUUUUUUUUUUGAGAAAGCAGGUAGGUCCUGACAGUGAGAGACUGGUAAGCCUGGAGGUGACCUGAGCCAGGUUCUAGACCAGGAAGAUCCAUGAGCAUUUGGAAUAAGAGAUGUGGACCAGCAGGAGGCAACAUAAGCUCAUAAAGACCAAAGAUAAUUUUUUGUUUUGAUGGUGACUACAAGACAGACUCAGGAAGCUCUUCUGUUCCCUCCAAGAAGUCUGCAACUGAGACUGGAAAACCAGGGACGAACUCCCCAGGGAAGAGUGGUAAACAGAAAGAUGCCAGCAGUAUGUUCUCCCUUUGUUUCCAUCCAGUUCCUUUUCUUUUCUGUGUUUAUGAGCAGUCAUAGAAUUUAUGAAUUUAUCUUAGUCCAUUCUGAAUUUAUCUUAGUCCAUUCUAGGCUGAAAAGACAUCCUUCCACCUACUGACCUCUUUGGAGAUUACUGCAUGAAUCCAGUCCUAAAGAAAGUACCAUAUCCUAAGGCCUGAAAGCUAAUGGUCUCUUCCCACCAGCCCUGCUUUGAAAAGAAACCAGGGUUAGUUCCUGUGUAGGUCCAGGCAGAACUCCAGGGCUGGACUUUCUUUUAUCAUCUUGGCUGUUUCUUUCACCCAAUAUUAUUUUUAAUGGAACCUGUGUCUUUCAUUUGCCAGGCUGGGGCUCUUUUUUUUAUCAUUGGUGCCACAGGGAAGACUUAAGGGAAGGCUUGCUGCCACCACAUAAACGCACUAUUGUCUUGUGGCUGGAGACAUCCCACUUGCCUUUCCAGAUCCACUCUCCAGCUUUCUCUCCCUGUGUAGAAUACAUGAGGCUGAAGCAUGAGGUAGCAAUAAGCUCAUGUUCCCUGCAGCUUCUGCUGGGCCAGUUGCAAGCAAGAGACCAGUGGGAGAGAGGACAGGGAAGCAAGGGUCUUGAUUCCUUUAGCAUCUCCAAUUGGGAACUCUGCAGAUGGGCUGAAUUCCUUGUACAAAGAUUUUAGCUCCUUUAAGGCAAGUUUCUACCCACAGCCCUCUUCAUCUUGGGAUUUCAGUAACUGGUUUCUCCCCCUGCUCCUUCAGGCCUAGGGUGCAGAACAGAAUCUCAAUGACACUCUCCCUUGUGGUUCCUCCAUACCCUGCCCACACCUUUGAAAACAAUUCCUUUAUUUAACUGUACUCAAAGUAUCCCAAUUUGAGUAUACCAUGUCUUUCCUGCCAGGAUCCUGGCAACUCCCACCCAGUCCAAGGGCUUGGAAGUCAUCCUAUCUUUUUCCAUUGAUCUUUCACAUCUCAUCCAAUGUCUUUCAUUGUGAUUGUCCUGGGAAUUUGAAAAGACAAGGCUGAAUAUAUAAGGAGCAUGAUGAAAAUAUGACCCCGAGAAGGAGAAUGGGAAGGAAGACUGGAUGGAAGCAUUGUAGACUGCCUCGCAAUCUACAAGAGGUUUGGCAAAGCUACUGGGGAGUUCUCAAGCCAACAUCAGCCAUCAGAGGAGUCUUGUGUUUCCCAGGAAUGGGCCUGCCUUAGUAUUCCUGCUGUGCUCAUUGACUGGGAGUAACCCACUAGCAGUGUGGCCUCUAUGCAAAUAUGGCAAUGGAUUGCAGAGCACAGCUGCUUCCUUGUGGUUGGAAGUCCAUGAGACACAUUCUCACGGCUACUAUAUUCAUGCCAUGAACAUGUUUAGCAACACUCCCACCUCCUAUCACUAAUACUCUAUUUUUACCUUGCUGUAGCUAUUUCUUCCUCAAAGA